CAAAAGACUGAGGAAAUGUGAGAGCAGUGUACAACAGGAGCCAGACUUCCUGUAUGACUCUGUGGCAGGCGGCUAGCAACCUGGAGAGUCUCCUCAUCAUGGUAUGUGAAUGAGAAAGAAGUGUCUUUGUGUCACUCCAUGAGAGGAAGACACCUUGGAAGAAGGAGAUCCCACCUGAAGCAGAUAGACAUUUGAAAAGGAAGAAAAUGACUACUGGCUGCUUUCUGAGGCCAGGUAUGGCCUCAGAGCAGCAUUCUUGUGGGGAUGCUGAGGCAACAGAGAGGCACUGUGAGUUCCAGACCACACUGAUCUAGAAGAAAACCAAGAAAUGAAAAAAGUAGGGGCAGUUCUUCUCUGGCCUAGCUCUCCUUCCACAAACCGACUGGUGCCUGGAUAUUCCUUUGACUCCAAAAGCAUCUUCGGAUGAACUUUGUGUCUCGUGACUCCAACCAACCGAAGCAGAUGGUCUCCUUCACUAGAAGUUGUUUCCACAGAAGCCAGGUUUAUCCAAUAUCUGGAAUUCUCUCUUUCCUGCCAAUGCCUAAAUAACCUCUGUGCUAUGUGACACUCUAGAUCCAUAGAUUGUGCUAUGAGUGUAUGGCACCCUAUAUUCACAGUCUGUGCUGAGUGACACUCUAGAUCCACAGGCUGUGCUAUGAGUGGCAGUGAACUCCCCAGGACAUUUCUGAUUUCUUUCUUUAUUCUUUUGUUUUCUUGAAAGAGGUCUUGAUAUGUAGCCCAAGCUGACCUUGAAUUUCCAUCUUCUGAGUCCAACUAUGAAGACAUCAAAUCCCUUUGUUAAUAACUCUUAUCCAUUACUGUGCAUUCAUGAUUAACAUUAAAGCCAGACUGAGAGCUUUAUCUCAAAAGACUUUGUGGGAAGAUUUUUACUGUUUCAAAAUACCUACCAGCCAUGUGCAAUGCCUGUAAUCCCACACUGACAAGGCAGAGGCAGGAGGCUUGUGAGACCCUGUUUUAAACAACAGCCACUACCAGAAAAAGAAAGAAAGCAAAAUAUGAAGGUAUCGUGCAGCUCUCAUUAAAUAUGUGCUGAUUAUUAAUCACUAAGAGCAGACGUGGACCUAGGAUGACUGACAUCUGAUAGUGCUAGAGGGAGGGGUCUCCCUGAGGUGGUACAGUGUCUGGGAUGUAUGGUCUGCUUCCCUUUCAUCAUAUUUCCAGUAAACUUUGGUAAAAUUCUCAGGCAGGUUUUCUUAGAAGUCCAAAGAAGCAGACCACUUCCUUUAUUUUAGGCUGCAUAUUUACAAGUGUACUUGUAAAUAUGAAGAAAUGAGAAAACAAGGUUGCAAAUGGCCAUUUAAAUGACUAGAACACACACUCUGUCUGUCUGUCUGUCUGUCUGUCUGUCUGUCUGUCUGUCUCUCUCUCUCACACACACACACUCCCUCAGAGUUUUGUGCAUAAUGUUUGACAAUAACAUCAAAAGUAGAGCUGUGCUGGUGUCAGUGGUGGCGCACGCCUUUAAUCCCAGCACUGGAAGGCAGAGGCAGGCGGAUCUCUGUGAGUUCAAGGCCAGCCUGGUCUACACACAGCAAAAGUUACAGGUUAGCCAGGACCGUUACACAGAGAAACCCUGUCUGGAAAAAAAAAAAGAUAGAGCUGCAUGAUAGCAAGCCAGGCCAAAUUUAUCCCGUUGUUGUCCCUCUCCUCUCCUCUCCUCUCCUCUCCUCUCCUCUC
Molecule: long non-coding RNA, 1698 nt
Filed under: Cricetulus griseus (Chinese hamster)
Lineage: Eukaryota; Metazoa; Chordata; Mammalia; Rodentia; Cricetidae
Description: lncRNA (ENSCGRG00015035252.1)
Source: RNAcentral